This 492-nucleotide ribosomal RNA is filed under the name uncultured bacterium. RNAcentral's name for it is "partial 16S ribosomal RNA". It matches the Rfam family "Bacterial small subunit ribosomal RNA", at positions 29 to 507 of the family's 1533-position model. The record is from RNAcentral.
AGUGAACGCUGGCGGUAGGCCUAACACAUGCAAGUCGAACGGCAGCACAGUAAGAGCUUGCUCUUACGGGUGGCGAGUGGCGGACGGGUGAGGAAUACAUCGGAAUCUACUUUUUCGUGGGGGAUAACGUAGGGAAACUUACGCUAAUACCGCAUACGACCUACGGGUGAAAGCAGGGGAUCUUCGGACCUUGCGCGAUUGAAUGAGCCGAUGUCGGCUUAGCUAGUUGGCGGGGUAAAGGCCCACCAAGGCGACGAUCCGUAGCUGGUCUGAGAGGAUGAUCAGCCACACUGGAACUGAGACACGGUCCAGACUCCUACGGGAGGCAGCAGUGGGGAAUAUUGGCCAAUGGGCGCAAGCCUGAUCCAGCCAUACCGCGUGGGUGAAGAAGGCCUUCGGGUUGUAAAGCCCUUUUGUUGGGAAAGAAAAGCAGCAGGUUAAUACCCCGCUGUUCUGACGGUACCCAAAGAAUAAGCACCGGCUAACUUCGUG